RNAcentral lists this unclassified non-coding RNA (362 nucleotides) under uncultured bacterium. Its description in RNAcentral is "contains 16S-23S intergenic spacer region". The record is from RNAcentral.
UCCGGUUUGGCACCGGCAGUCCCUCUAGAGUCCCCGGCAUUACCCGCUGGCAACUAGGGGCAGGGGUUGCGCUCGUUGCGCCACUUAAGGCAACACCUCACGGCACGAGCUGACGACGGCCAUGCAGCACCUGCGCGGGCUCCCGAAGGAGCCCCGAUCGGGAAGUCAAGGGCUGGUAAGGUUCUUCGCGUUGCCUCGAAUUAAACCACAUGCUCCACCGCUUGUGCGGGCCCCCGUCAAUUCCUUUGAGUUUUAGCCUUGCGGCCGUACUCCCCAGGCGGGGCGCUUAAUGCGUUAGCUACGGCACGGAUCCCGUGGAAGGAAACCCACACCUAGCGCCCACCGUUUACGGCGUGGACUAC